RNAcentral lists this ribosomal RNA (515 nucleotides) under uncultured bacterium. RNAcentral describes it as "bacterial SSU rRNA". It matches the Rfam family "Bacterial small subunit ribosomal RNA", at positions 33 to 518 of the family's 1533-position model. The record is from RNAcentral.
ACGCUGGCGGCGUGCCUAAUACAUGCAAGUCGAACGGUCUUUUCUAUGGAAGCUUGCUUCCACUGAGAAGAUAGUGGCGAACGGGUGAGUAACACGUGGGUAACCUGCCCAUAAGAGGGGGAUAACAUCCGGAAACGGGUGCUAAUACCGCAUAGUUUUCUUGAUCGCAUGAUCGGGAAAGGAAAGACGGCCUUUGUGCUGUCGCUUAUGGAUGGACCCGCGGCGUAUUAGUUAGUUGGUGAGGUAACGGCUCACCAAGACGAUGAUACGUAGCCGACCUGAGAGGGUGAUCGGCCACAUUGGGACUGAGACACGGCCCAAACUCCUACGGGAGGCAGCAGUAGGGAAUCUUCCGCAAUGGACGAAAGUCUGACGGAGCAACGCCGCGUGAGUGAAGAAGGGGUUUUCGGAAUCGUAAAACUCUGUUGUCAGAGAAGAACAAGUUGGAGAGUAACUGCUCCAGCCUUGACGGUAUCUGACCAGAAAGCCACGGCUAACUACGUGCCAGCCGCCGC